This is a long non-coding RNA of Tupaia belangeri chinensis (Chinese tree shrew), 834 nucleotides long. RefSeq lists it as uncharacterized. Lineage: Eukaryota; Metazoa; Chordata; Mammalia; Scandentia; Tupaiidae. The transcript has 4 exons. The record is from RefSeq and is a predicted model, not a curated record.
CCGGAACUUCCGCGCCCGCCUCCGUGGGAUCCGCCGCCGGAACUAAACGGGGUGAGGGGACAUAUUAGCCUAGCUCCACGUCGGGACACGGUGGGUGUUAUCGCUCUCCUGAUUGUCGUUACUUUUGGAAUAAACAAAACAUGUUUUGAAGAAAUACAACCCUGCCAAGACACCUAGGUCUGGAGUGCAAGGGGAAGAAGAUAAUUGAAACCAAGGGAGGAGAGAACCCAGAAAAGACGAUGUGAUCAAGAAGAAAGUGGAUUGAAGAAAGCAAUUAGAAGUCAUUGGCAUCCUUCCAGGGGACAGGUAGUUUGUUUCUCAUGAUAUUAACUUGGGAGCUGCUGACUUCCUCCAGAACAUGCCAUCCAGGAGGUGAAGGUAGAACGGCAACACCUCUGUGACCUAUUCUCUCAAGUCAGCUCCUGUCACUUCCCCAAAAGUCAAUGAUGUGAUUCUGAUGUAUCGUGAGUGACUGUUAGACAAUCUGCGUACCUUUAGAGGAAUCAAUGGACUGUGCUUGAGAUUUGGAGUUUGUCAAAGAUAAACUUUCGUCGAAGCCAUCACUGUAAGAAAACGAGGGAGAUGUCAUCACAAAGUGAAGCUACCUGGCAAUGAAUGGAACAUCUGGUCUGAGAACUGAGAUAUCUCGAUUUGCAGUCCUGAGUUCUUCCCCCUGGUCCAGAAUGUGAUUACUUUUGGAAAGCUUGCUACAAUAGGCUUGUUUGUUUGUUUGUUUUUGGUCAUUUUCUAUAAACUAAAGAACCCCUCCUUCUGUUGCAGCAAACCCUGCAUCAAGUGUCCGUGUCCACUGUGUGUCUUCCCCUCAAGGUUAUU